GACGAACGCUGGCGGCGCGCCUAACACAUGCAAGUCGAACGGAGCUGCGAGAAGCUUGCUUUUCUUAGCUUAGUGGCGAACGGGUGAGUAACGCGUGAGUAACCUGCCCUGGAGUGGGGGACAACAGCUGGAAACGACUGCUAAUACCGCAUAAGCCCACGAUCCGGCAUCGGAUUGAGGGAAAAGGAUUUAUUCGCUUCAGGAUGGACUCGCGUCCAAUUAGCUAGUUGGUGAGGUAACGGCCCACCAAGGCGACGAUUGGUAGCCGGACUGAGAGGUUGAACGGCCACAUUGGGACUGAGACACGGCCCAGACUCCUACGGGAGGCAGCAGUGGGGGAUAUUGCACAAUGGGGGAAACCCUGAUGCAGCGACGCCGCGUGGAGGAAGAAGGUUUUCGGAUUGUAAACUCCUGUCGUUAGGGACGAUAAUGACGGUACCUAACAAGAAAGCACCGGCUAACUACGUG
Molecule: ribosomal RNA, 468 nt
Filed under: uncultured bacterium
Lineage: Bacteria
Description: partial 16S ribosomal RNA
Rfam family: Bacterial small subunit ribosomal RNA
Source: RNAcentral